GUGCCAGCCGCCGCGGUAAAACGUAGGAGCCAAGCGUUAUCCGAAUUCACUGGGCGUAAAGCGCGUGCAGGCGGCCUGAUAAGUUGGAUGUGAAAUCUCCUGGCUCAACUGGGAGAGGCCGUUCAAGACUGUCGGGCUCGAGGGCGACAGAGGGAGGUGGAAUUCCGGGUGUAGUGGUGAAAUGCGUAGAUAUCCGGAGGAACACCAGAGGCGAAGGCGACCUCCUGGGUCGUACCUGACGCUGAGAUGCGAAAGCUAGGGGAGCAAACGGGAUUAGAAACCCCUGUAGUCC
Molecule: ribosomal RNA, 292 nt
Filed under: uncultured bacterium
Lineage: Bacteria
Description: partial 16S ribosomal RNA
Rfam family: Bacterial small subunit ribosomal RNA
Source: RNAcentral